GUACAAUAUUGUUGGGGUCUUACAAUGUUAUCAAUAAAAGUUAACAACAUGAACAACCAGCUUUCUAAGCUAAGUUUCAGUGGAGAAUUGUGUAGCAAGAUGUGAUUGAUUGCCAUUGCUCAAUCUUUACUAUAAAUCGUGAGACCAUUUCAAGUCGGAAUAGAAAAGUUUUGGUUUCGUGGCUUCUUGUCAAAAAGGGUAAAUUUCAGGGGUU
Morus notabilis is the source of this 214-nucleotide long non-coding RNA. RefSeq lists it as uncharacterized. The transcript has 3 exons. The record is from RefSeq and is a predicted model, not a curated record. NCBI's taxonomy places the organism in Eukaryota, Viridiplantae, Streptophyta, Magnoliopsida, Rosales, Moraceae.